CCUACGGGUGGCAGCAGUGGGGAAUAUUGGGCAAUGGGCGCAAGCCUGACCCAGCAACGCCGCGUGAAGGAAGAAGGCUUUCGGGUUGUAAACUUCUUUUGACAGGGAAGAGCAGAAGAUGUUCCCUGUCGAAUAAGCUACGGCUAACUACGUGCCAGCAGCCGCGGUAAUACGUAGGUGGCAAGCGUUGUCCGGAUUUACUGGGGGUAAAGGGCGUGUAGCCGGGCUGACAAGUCAGUUGUGAAAUCCGGGGGCUAAACCCCCGAACUGCAUUUGAAACUGUUGGUCUUGAGUCUCGGAGAGGCAGGCGGAAUUCCUGGUGUAGCGGUGAAAUGCGUAGAUAUUAGGAGGAACACCAGUGGCGAAGGCGGCCUGCUGGACGACAACUGACGGUGAGGCGCGAAAGCGUGGGGAGCAAACAGGAUUAGAUACCCCUGUAGUC
Molecule: ribosomal RNA, 442 nt
Filed under: uncultured bacterium
Lineage: Bacteria
Description: partial 16S ribosomal RNA
Rfam family: Bacterial small subunit ribosomal RNA
Source: RNAcentral